CUUUUCCAGGGCAUCUUCCCGACCCAGGGAUGGAACCUGGGUCUCCUCCUUUGCAGGCAGAUUCUUUACUGUCUGAGCCACCAGGAGAGAUUUAAAUGGUUGUUGUGGGGAUUAAAUAAGAUGGACCAGAAAGGGUGCUAGCCCUUGUUGUUAGCAGUUUUGGAUCUUGUUUCUCAGUCUUUCUACAGCUACAUUUAUGGAUGACCUUGUGGAAUGAGGCCAUAUUCAGUGCCCCAGAAGGCUUGUCAUGUGGAAUUUCAAAGGAAAAGAAGUAGACUUCGGUUACUUAAAAAUCUCAUAUUCUUUCCUGAUUGGCACCAUAUUCUAACAUUUAUUUCCCCAGUGCUCCGUCCUCAGCCCCAUUUUCACCUUACAAUGUAUUCUUUUCCUUCUUUUUGUCUAACAGGGACAAGGAGGGUGGCAAGGAAGGGGUUUCCCCUUUCCUGAUUCCCAAAGCUACCCUCACUCUGAGUCUCUGCUAAGGGAACCAGCUUGUCUACCUGUGGGAAGAUCAGAAAACCAACCCUCAGCCUUGGCUCACCAGCAUGGAUGUGUGGGCAGCAGCCAAGCUGAGAAACCCAUCUGGACAUCAGGGCCCCCUGGGGAAAACAUGUCUGGCUCUGUUUGUAUUGGCUUCCAGAGCAGCCUUCUGACUUGAUGUUGUGCUAACUGGGGAUUGUGGGAAAGUCCAUCUGACCAGCAGCUUCCCGCAGGUGGCUUUUGAUUAAGCCAAUGGAGGGGCCUGAGAACCAGCAUGCAGCCUGGGACUCCAGGGAGGUCCGAGUCAGUAUGGACACCCACCUCCCCUUUCCUGGAGGAGAGAGGUGGAGAGCAGGGAAGGACCAACCCAGUCUCAGAAGCCAAUGUCACGUGCAGAAACCAAAAAUUCAAUUUUCACUGUUUGGCUUAAUUUGAAAGGCAGCGCUGACCCUACACUUGGCUGCCACGGGACAAAGGGUUUUCUCCAGCUGGGGUCAUUAAAGAGUGGACUCCAGGUCAGCACUGAGUAAAAUUUAACUUCUGUUUAUUUUUCUCCCUUUUCUUAUAAUGCUAUUGGCCCCAAAACACACUCCCCCACUCCUCCCUAUCCAUUUCUCUCACUAUGUCCUGACCAGGUUUCUGACAUGGACACUCUGAAAGCAGAAAUCAUUUCAUGCUUUUGACUUACUGGCCUUCCCAAGGUUGGGUUAAAUCUGAUAAGAGUCAAAUGAGUUUUGUUUGGCAGCAGCCAAAGAAGGAGCAGGUCCUAAGGGGAGAGAACAAAGUGAAGUUUGUGCAUGUGACCAUACCUUGGCCUCUCUCACAUGUGUCAGCUCAUCCCUCCCUCUGCCCUGGUCCUGUCCCUUCCUCCUUCCCUUCUCACUGUCAGAAGUUGGCCAGUUAGCAAACCCACAGGUACGAAGGCAGGAAUGACUGACUGCCCCACGCUCUCUGCUUUUCCAGUACCUUUGCGUUUUCUCGUGGAUCGGACUUCAUGGAAUUUCAGGAUGGGGAUCAGAAACUCUGUAAGGGUCAAGAUUUAAAGACAGGGUUAUAUUUGGGUAGAGAGCCAUGUAGAUUUUUACAGAGCCAGGUAGAUUUGGGUCUCAGCCAUGUGUGUUUUGAUCAAGUUGCCUAAUCAUUCUGAGCGUCAGUAUUCCCAACAACAGAAGACAGUAUCUUUUUUUCAGAAAUGACUAGUGUAAAGUUUCUAGCUCUAUGCCACCUCGCAGAUACUUGAUAAAUCUUCAGGGUUAUUGUGGUUAUCAGGCUGCUCCAUCUACACCUGAGCUGAAUCCUAGAUGAGGAAUGACUGUGAAAGAGGUCUAUUAUGGUGGGGAGGCAUGAUUACCUCUAUCUUCCUGUUAGUGUUGUGUCCCAUGGCUGACUCUGAGGAAACCGAGAAGCCAAAGAAGGAUGAGAGAGAAACAAGCAAAGAUAACGAUGUUGCCCUGCCUGGAGUACAUACCAAGUGGCGACAAGCUUGGUCACCAAAGUCACCAGGGUUUCGUUCACCCGAGGAGACAAGAAGCUCAGGGAACCAAGACUCUUGGAUAAUAGGCAGUAUUAGGUACACUCGGCUGAGACUGGUGACCCUGUCUCUGAGGGGUUCCCACAUGCCCUGGUGACCUCAGCUUUCACAGGCCACCAUUUUCUUUUGAGGCCAGUGAUUUUCCAGCCUAGCUGCCUGUUCGAAUCUCAUGUGGAAGUGGGCCUGACUAGCUUUAAAAGUACCUCAGGUGAAUCCACUGUUAUCAGAGCUGAGAAUCACUGUUCCAGACCCAGGCUGAGCCUGUCAGGGGUUCUUCUGUGGAGGGAAUUUCUUUUGGUAGAGUAUUCUCCCCAGAUGGAUCCCAAAUGAUCAGAAAAGGUUGAUGAUAAUUAUUCAUGUUGCUUAAUUUGUGUCAUGUUUUAAAAUCAUUUAUUUACUUUAAACUUUAUACAUUCCUUAUUCCAACAAGCACCAUCUAAUUUGGUAUAGUUAUCUUGCUUAAGCAAAUAGAUCCCAGCCUUCCAAUUAAAAAGAAAAAAAUGCAAGGAAGGAAGGGAGAAUCAUUACUGCGGCUUAUUUCUGGAGUAACAUUGAGUCACUUAGGGGUCGUUAAACUUAAGGGUGAGUCAAGGGAACCUUCUAGGGUGACUCCUUCAUUUCUCUAAACUGGUUGAUUAAACAGGAAGCCUCACAUGUAUUGAUGGAUACCUCAUCUCCUAGGAGUCCUCCUCCAUCAUCCAAGCUUUUUUUUUGAAAAGGCAAACUCUGCAAUUGACACACAUGUGAUGAGAAACCAGCAUACUAGCGGUUGACCAGGUUUCUACUCUCAUUGCCAAGAUGUAGCUUUUACAUCCCUAGACUUCUAGGAAAAUAUAUUUUAUUCUAAAGAGCCACUAUGAAACUUAGUGUUUGCGUAGUGUCAGGGAAAACUGAGGCUGAUGGCACUGCUGUUUUAUCUGGAAGGAUUACCGGGAAGCUCUGGGUCUCCCCACUGUCAAAUAUUGAUGUUUGGUUUUGUGGAAGAGUGAUGUGACCACUCAUGUUAGGUUCAGAUGAGCAUAAUUAGGACUGAGGGUGAGAAGUUAGAAAGAGACACAUAAGUACUAAGUAUGAUGGAGACACUUUUGUCCUCCAUGUUGACUGAGCUGCGCACCAGAGUGUCUCGUUCAAACACCUAAAGGUCAGUGUGGUGAGUACUUUUUUUUUUUUUUUUUAGUUUAACAGAUCUAAUGAAGGUCCAGUGGGGAAUACAUUUGGGAAGGCGCUCCAAACUUGGCUCUGGAGGCUCCUCUGGCAGGGGGAGGCCACCUCUCAGCUGCCCACACCUUCUGGAGUCCAAAUCUCAGGCCAGAGAGGGGCUGGCCUCCCAAGCUUGGGCUGUGGAAUCACCACCUGGGUGCCGGCUGGGUUCCAGGCCAGCCAAGCUGAGACAGGACAGGUCCUUGUAGCCCAGGCUGGUGCAUGGCUGAGUAGCUGGGUUACUAGUUACACCAAAGACUUUCAGCUGGCCAGGCAGAAGGGCUCCAUACGCCGAAACCAACGCAGGAGGAAGAAGCAACCAUGAGGGCAUGUGUUGAUUGGGGGAGCCAAAAGAUUGAAGUGGAGUGGGAUCCUGAGCUAACAAAUGGAGCUUGGCUGACCAGGAGAGACCUCCAGAUCUGUAGAAAACUCUGCAAAAAAUAAGAAAUAAACCUUUGACUCAAGACAUUGAAAUUUUUGUGGGCUGUUUGUUACCACAGAGCAACCUUGCUUGUCCUGACUGAUACAGCUUCUCUCUAACACACUCUGCAAAAUGGUUACCAUUUUACUUGUUCACUAAAAUUAUCUCUCUGAUCUAAGAGUUCUUUGUCUGGGCUCUAUCUAGGGAUACUGUUUUCUUUCAGUCGUAUUUGCUUUCAAUUCAGGUACAUGGGUGUGGGGCAGAUUAAUAAGAAACUUGCUCAAAAUGAGGCAGUUCUGUUUUAGAAAUCCUGCUGUAAACACACAUCUUCAUUCAGUUAAUCCCCAUGGUACUUCCUGUGUAAAACCAUUCAACAUUCCUUGGAGGUACAUGCACUUGCGUAUUAUUACUAAACCCCCUUGUGCUUGAUGUCACGUAAGCUUCAAAGAUUUGGUUUCUUUGAAAUAAUAGGAUCAUUCUAGAUUAAUACUAAUUUAUGAACUAUUAGUUUCCUGCACUUUUUAAAAGACCGAUAUUCAAAUAUUCAUAGAUUUCUUCUUGGGCAUUCUGAACACUUAAAAAUGUGUAUAUGUAUAUCACUUGUUAUAUUAAAUGGUUAUGGCACUUGCCUUAUGUUGUGUCUCUGCUAUGUUAUGUUCAGAAAUGAAGAGUCUAACUAUUAACAUUACUAAGGAAAUGUUUCUGAGCACCGUUGUUUUGAAGCAGGUGCUUUGUGAUUACAUGUGAGAGACUACCGUUAACAACAACAUGAGAAACCCAUAACAAUUCACUUGUUGUCCAAUAGCUCUUUUACAUGCAUUAUUUUGACUGAGUGCGAGCUAAAACUAUCUAGAUUAUUACUUUCAGCACUUAAUAGAUAAGGAAAUUGAAGCUUGGAGUUUAGAAACACUUUCCCUUGGCAAACUAGAUCAUAAAAUAUGGCUUUAGAUUGAGCUGUCCCUAUAUUUGCCUUUUGAAUUAAUACUUUAAUAAGUUACUUCUUUGGAUGUAAGAAAGAACUUGAGAAUAGAAUUUUUCAAAUUGAAUGUGCAGUUUAGAACUUCUCUCUUAGGAUCCACUGGUAAUUAGUAACUGAAUGGAAAUGAAUUGCAGCCCUGCGUGUUGGGAUUUUUGCCUCGUCUCUUCUCUCCUCCAUGGUCCCCAGCCCUCACGUGUGUCCUUCUGCCGGAAUGGAGAGUCAGCAUUGUUUUUCAUGUGGUGCACAUUGUGCCUCUGUGCUGUGGGGACUUAGAUUAAUUAUUGGACUCAAGUCCCUCUGGGAGGGAGGAAUAUGAGAUGACCACUUGUAAAGUGGCCAUUCCAAAAGAGCCAUCUCAAAUUCCCCAAAUAAACAUUGAAUCAAGAUAUCAUAUUAGUAUUCUAGAAGAGUCGGUUGCACGGCGUCACCGACUCAAUAGACAUGAGUUUGAGCAAACUCCGGGAGAUGGUGAGGGACAGGGAAGCCUGGUGUACUGCAAGUCCAUGGGGUCACAAAGAGUUGGACACGACUGAGAGACUAAACAACAGCAACAAUUCUAGAAGAGGGAAGGAAAAAUCAUUUAAUCUGAAAUAUUAAGAAUGGCACAGUGGUUUAGGUGAUAUUUUUGAAACAAUUUCAGUGAGUAGCAUGUCUAUGUCAUAUGUACUUGAUACUCUUUCUUCGAUUAGAGACAUUUACUACAAGUGAAAAUUUGGAGGGUGUCUCAUAUUUAAGAAGAAACAAAUUAUAGUAUAAUUCAACAGUAUAUUUCUGGUUAUGUACUCAUCAAAGACCUUAGAUCUUUUCCAGUUAUCAUACUAAUGUGCCUCCCACACUUUCUGUUAUUCAUGCAUCUAUAUAAUACAGGCUUAAAAAAGGAAAGAUUAAUAUUAUGUGCUGGUUGUAGAGGGAUAAAAAGAUAUUUAUCUCAAAGCUGUCUGGGUACUUUCUAAUUACUCUUAUCUAUGGGAACCAAAUCACUGGACUAUGAUUGAGUUAGACAAGAGAUCUGGGUUCUAAACUCAUCUCUGUUCCUACCUGACUGGAUGACUUGCACACACAGUCUUUCCAGGCCUUAGUUUCCUCCUCUGUAAAAGGAGAAGUUUCCACUAGAUUAUCUCUAAGGUCUCUCCAGCACCAAUAUUUUUUAUCCUUCAACAUUCAGAGAAUCUAAUGGCAACAUCUGGAAUUGAUUCAUGAAGGAAAGCGUAAUCAUACCAUUUGCCCCCACUCCUUUUAGCCUCAAACUACUAUAACUUUUCAUAGUCACAGAAUAUCCCUUCUCAGAUGAUACCAUAAAUUCAGAAGAUUACACUGAGCUUCUCUAUAACUUUUCUCUAAUGGGCUAAAGGAAAUUGCUCCAAUUGAAUUGGCAUGCUUGCAAACAACCAAUCUGUGAAAUCAGUGGACUUCACAUAGUCUAAGUUCUUUUAAAAAUAUAGUUUAAAGAGCCCAGAGCCUACUUUCCCCAUUGGCACAAUUUCACAUGUUUAUGUGGCAAAAGAAAAUUACUUCUUCCUGAAGUCGAGAUGGAGAGUAACUUAAACGUCAUAAAGUGAAUGUCUUUUAGGUGAGUUGGUUAAAAGUUUAUCCUGUAACGUGACAAAGGGUACAUUUUGGCCAAAACUGUGGCAGUUCUCAAAGAUAACGUUUUGAUAAUUUUUAGAAAAUGUAUUUUUAAAUUUUAAAAUAAGUGUCUGUUUACUGAAAGUUGCUGAGAAUUGUUCAGGGAGACACAAACUUGUCACAUGAGUUUCCCAUAGAUUGUCUGGCAUGUUUAUAGUGGACCUAACAAAAGAGAAGGCAUACAUACACACAAGAAUAGGGAGCAUAAAAAUGUAACAGUGAUAUGCAUUUGAUUGUGUUAAAUGAAAAAUACAAGUGAUGGUAUCAAAACACUACACCCAAUAACUGAAAACUAUCUUAAGAACAAAUGCUUGAUCAAAUACUAUUUGAGUAAUCACCAUUGGUAAACAGUUUUCCUUGCUUGGAUAGCAAAUGAACUCCUUGAAAACUUAGUUGGGUUAUAGACUUGUUUUCAUGUUUUAUUUUUGUGAAAAAAUUUUGCCACACAGAAGAUAUUCCAUUUUAAUUAAAAAAUUUUCUGACCACUGCUUUUCUGUGAUGAGUGCUUGUCUAAGAAUAUCAGCAUGCAUUGUAUUCUUUCAGCACAGUGUGUGUCCUUGCAUAAUAAAACCAUGCUUUUUGAAAAUAUAUUUUUAUUUAAGUAUAGUUAAUUUACAAUGUGUUCGUUUCUGCGGUAUAUCAGAGUGAUGCAGUUAUAUAUUCUUCUAAUAUUCUUUUUCAUUAUGCUUUACCCCAGGCUAUUGAAUAUAGUUCUCUGUGCUAUACAGUAGGAUUUUGUUGUUAAUCCAUUCUGUAUAUAAUAGGUUGCAUCUGUUAACCCCCAAAUUCCACUCCAUCCUUCCCCUGCACCACCCCCUCCCUUGCAACCACAGGUUUGUUUUCCAUGCCUGUUAGUCUAAAAUCAUGCUUUGAUAUCUAAUUUGAUAGCAAAAUUUUACUGUACCUUAAGAAUACAGCAAAUUUCACUUUUCUUGUCAUAAUGAGUAUACACAGGUAAUAAAGAAUUUUAAAAUAUCAAAAAAGAAUAAAUGAAAAUUAAUAAAAUCAAUAAGGAAUAAUGUGAGUACUUGGGAAUUUAAAAAUGUCAGAAAGAAAAUGUGUAAAACAGAGUUAUGUCCCUGAGAAUUUAAAAUACAUCCUGAGUCUAUUA
Long non-coding RNA from Bubalus bubalis (water buffalo), 7348 nucleotides. RefSeq lists it as uncharacterized. The transcript has 2 exons. The record is from RefSeq and is a predicted model, not a curated record. Lineage: Eukaryota; Metazoa; Chordata; Mammalia; Artiodactyla; Bovidae.